This 522-nucleotide ribosomal RNA is filed under the name uncultured bacterium. RNAcentral's name for it is "bacterial SSU rRNA". It matches the Rfam family "Bacterial small subunit ribosomal RNA", at positions 9 to 526 of the family's 1533-position model. The record is from RNAcentral.
GAGUUUGAUCAUGGCUCAGAUUGAACGCUGGCGGCAUGCCUUACACAUGCAAGUCGAACGGGGUGGAGGGGCAACCUUCCAUUCAGUGGCGAACGGGUGAGUAAUGCAUCGGAACGUGUCCGGGAGUGGGGGAUAACGCCGCGAAAGCGGCGCUAAUACCGCAUAUGCUCUUUGGAGGAAAGCGGGGGACCCGAGAGGGCCUCGUGCUUGCGGAGCGGCUGAUGUCCGAUUAGGUAGUUGGUGGGGUAACGGCCUACCAAGCCUGCGAUCGGUAGCUGGUCUGAGAGGAUGAUCAGCCACACUGGGACUGAGACACGGCCCAGACUCCUACGGGAGGCAGCAGUGGGGAAUUUUGGACAAUGGGGGCAACCCUGAUCCAGCCAUGCCGCGUGCGGGAAGAAGGCCUUCGGGUUGUAAACCGCUUUUAGCCGGGAAGAAAGGGCAGGGGCCAAUACCCUCUGUCGUUGACGGUACCGGCGGAAUAAGCACCGGCUAACUACGUGCCAGCAGCCGCGGUACGCC